UUGUUUUCAUUUUGAUUUUUGAAUCUAACCUAGAAGGCCAGACUCGGAAACAAAAAAAAUUCUAGAAUUUGGAUACUAAAAGGAAACGUCAUCCCGAUUCCAAAGAAACGAGAGCAACGCCUCCCCGUAUUUUUUAAUGAUCCUUCCGCAGGUUCACCUACGGAAA
This 166-nucleotide unclassified non-coding RNA is filed under the name uncultured fungus. Its description in RNAcentral is "sequence contains ITS1". The record is from RNAcentral. Lineage: Eukaryota; Fungi.